Molecule: ribosomal RNA, 418 nt
Filed under: uncultured bacterium
Lineage: Bacteria
Description: bacterial SSU rRNA
Rfam family: Bacterial small subunit ribosomal RNA
Source: RNAcentral
GAUGAAGGCCUUCUGGGUUGUAAACGGCUUUCCUCAGGGAGGAGAAAGACCAUGCGUGUUACUCUGACGGUACCUGAGGAAUAAGCACCGGCUUACUCCGUGCCAGCAGCCGCGGUUAUACGGAGGGUGCAAGCGUUGUCCGGAUUUAGUGGGUUUAAAGGGUGCGUAGGCGGCCCGUUAAGUCCGGGGUGAAAGCCCACAGCUCAACUGUGGAAGUGCCCUGGAUACUGGCGGGCUUGAGUCCAGACGAGGUGGGCGGAAUGGAAGGUGUAGCGGAGACAUGCAUAGAUACCAUCCAAAACCCCGAUUGCGUAGGCAGCUGGCUAGGCUGGUACUGACGCUGAGGCACGCAAGCGUGGGGAGCGGGCAGGAUUAGAUACCCUGGUAGUCCUCGCCGUAAACGAUGGAUACUAACUGG